This 86-nucleotide unclassified non-coding RNA is filed under the name Pseudomonas migulae. Lineage: Bacteria; Pseudomonadati; Pseudomonadota; Gammaproteobacteria; Pseudomonadales; Pseudomonadaceae. The record is from RNAcentral.
UGUAGGAGCCGGCUUGCUGGCGAUGCAGGCGACUCGGUUUAACGCCUAACCGAGUCGCUUCCAUCGCCAGCAAGCCGGCUCCUACA